CUCGAACCCACCCAUAAACAUUUUUCGUCCCGCCCACCCUAAACUGGAAAAAUGGCGACAGCUGUUUUGCGAUUCUCUCGGACACUCGUAUCGAGAAAUACGGCGAUAGUAAGCCGUAACACCGUCUUGAAACCGUCCCACACUCCAAGACAGAACCAACUUCGAACUGCCGUAUCAACAGCAAAUGGCGGUGUUCUACCAAAGCCGGAUAAAGUAUCCUUUGGCCUGAUUCGCAUGACCGCUGUAGUGAUCCCCUUCCUGUAUGUGGGCACUCUGAUCAGCAAGAACUUUGCGGCUCUACUGGAGGAGCAUGACAUCUUCGUCCCUGAGGAUGAUGAUGACGACGACUGAACCAAGGCCAGUGAUGAUAAGAAAGGAAUUGCAAGGUGCUUUGCAAUAAUGAUGGCUUGUCUGUUGCCUUGUUGGAGAGGAUCAAAACUACUGCAGGCGACUGCCGACUUAUCUACAAAUAACCUUGCAUCAUAUAUGAUGACUUAUGAUUAUUUAUAGAUAUGUAAAACAUUUUUUAAUCCUCUCAAACACGACCAGUAUGAUUGAGAGAGAGAUGCCACCACUACAGGAGAAGAUGACCUAUGACCUCGUCCGGCUCCGCUCAUCCUUUGCCUUUCCUAUUAUGAAAUUGUCUUCCCAUUGUCGCCUGCUUAUCACCGUGAAUACUACAUAUUGUUUUAAGUUAUUGUGAGGCCAAAUCACAACUAGCCUCCUCACUUACUCGCAUGUGUCUUAAUAAAUUGAUACUCUAUGGAAAAAAAA
Molecule: long non-coding RNA, 774 nt
Organism: Esox lucius (northern pike)
Lineage: Eukaryota; Metazoa; Chordata; Actinopteri; Esociformes; Esocidae
Product: single-pass membrane protein with aspartate-rich tail 1b
Exons: 3
Source: RefSeq, a predicted model, not a curated record